RNAcentral lists this long non-coding RNA (869 nucleotides) under Pan troglodytes (chimpanzee). Its description in RNAcentral is "long non-coding RNA NONPTRT014014". The record is from RNAcentral. Lineage: Eukaryota; Metazoa; Chordata; Mammalia; Primates; Hominidae.
UAUUCUUAGGUAAGAUGUAAGGGUAGAAUGGUGGCCCCUGCAAAAGGUAAGCCUUCCUCCUAAUCCUAGAAUCGUGGAUGGUACCUUAUUUGGAUAAAAAGGUCUUUGCAGAUGUAAUUAAGAACCUUGAGAUGAGGAGAUCAUCCUGGAUUAUCUGGUGGACUGUAAAGUCAAUGACAUGUAUUCAUAUAUGACAGAAGAGAAGACAUGGAGAAGAGGAGGGAGUAGUUGUGACCGUGGAGGCAGAGAAUGGAGUAAUGUGAUCAUAAAUCAAGGAAUGCUGACAGCCACUAAAGCUGGAGAAGGCCAAGGACAGAUAUUCAAUCCUCCCGUAGAAGUACAGCCCUGCUAAUGCAUUGAUUUUGGACUUCUGGCCUCAGAACUAUUUAUAUAUCAGCUUUGUAUCAGUUGAAAUAAACCACCCUGGGCAGUGGCUCACACCUGUAAUCCCAGCACUUUGGGAGGCCGAGGCAGGUAGAUCAUUUGAGGUCAGGAGUUCAAGGCCAGCCUGACCAACAUGGUGAAACCACAUCUCUACUAAAAAAUACAAAAAUUAGCCCGGUGUUGUGGCAGGCGCUUGCAAUCCCAGCUACUCAGGAGGCUGAGGCACAAGAAUUCCUUGAACCUGGGAGGUGGAGGUUGCAGUGAGUCGAAACCAAGCCACUGCCCUCCAGUCUGGGCAACAGAUUGAGAAUCUGUCUCAAAAAAAAUAAAUACAUAAAAAAGCCACACUGUACUUGUGAAGAUUAACUGAGAUGUUUAAAACAUUAUUUGCAAAAAUGCAAGACAUGAUGUAAGUGUAAAGCAUUAUUAUAUAUCAACAUAAUUGACCAUUAGAAAAAUGCAAAUUAACACCUCAAUGAGAUAUA